This is a long non-coding RNA of Peromyscus leucopus (white-footed mouse), 2255 nucleotides long. RefSeq lists it as uncharacterized. The record is from RefSeq and is a predicted model, not a curated record. The transcript is spliced from 3 exons. NCBI's taxonomy places the organism in Eukaryota, Metazoa, Chordata, Mammalia, Rodentia, Cricetidae.
UUUCCUGUUAUUCACACCAAAGUAUCUCAAAUAAGCUCUCUGUGUCCAUAAUACCUCAACAGCUUGAUCCCUGACACAAUCAAGCAUGAGACUUCCUCCCUCAAGUUCAAAAGCACAUAUAAACUACAGCAGGUGCUGAUGAGGGGACUUCCAGGACAGAUCCAGGGAUGACUAUUAUCUGCUGAGAGCCCAUGAAGGAACAGUCACCUCUCUGUUGCGUAACAGAUGGAUGAUGCCAGAUGUGUCUGCCCACAAAUCCCAAGCGGCAGCAGGCAACCAAGGUUCCCCUACAGGAGAAUGACUUAGAACCGCACAGUUGUAGAGUGGAAACCACGUUACAGAGUCCAGUGCAAGAGUGGAAACGUCGGCGUGGAUCAUGAGUGAGAAGGCAGGUCCAUGUCCCCGGAGCCAUGCAAGGAUAAGGCAAUGUUCUGCAAUCAUCACAAAGUCUGAAUAAAAUCAAUAUAAUGAAUGAGCCAAAUAAUUAGUGUGGUGUUAUCAGCUACUGAACUGGUAAACGACUUAUAAGACUGGGCAAGCUCCAUUUCCACCUUUCGGCAAAGGCAGAAAGACAUGCUCCAUCCUCCAGAGACCAGUGGACACCUGGACUGAUCAGUGGACACUUGAACAGUGGGAACCUGGAGAGUGGGCAUCUUAUCAGUGAGCACCUGGACAGUGGACCUGCAGAACCUUGAAGAAGAAUUAAAAUUAAAAGCAGUUCAGCGGGGCAGUUUUAGGGUAUUCUCUAAGGAAAGCAGAACUUUGGGGUCCCUAUCUGUUUAAUGGAAAUUAAACAGGGGUGCUUUAUUUUGGAAAAAUAGAAGAUUCUUGAUGAUUGCUUCAAAACAGACUGUUUUAGAGAAAUAAAACUGAAAUUAAGAAAGGAUUCUGAGCCAGCUCAUGAGUGGCAAGACAGUCUUAUCAACUAUUCUAAUCAGAUUUUAAUUGUUCUAAUCCACAACAACAGGAAAUUGAACAAUUUUAGUGAUGUCCCUACAAAAUUAAAUGAACUUCAGGAAUUGUCUGUUGUUACUUUUGUUUUGUCCUUUCCAGCCUCUGCCCCAGGCCUGUGGCCACCUUGAUGUUGAUGCUCAGGAACAGGAUUGCAUCAUGAACUCCUUUUUAAAGAGGGGGUGAUGGUGUCCAAGAAGGACAUCCACUUGCUCAAACACCUGGAACCAGCAGACAAAAACGCACCUAACCUUCACGCCAUGAAGGCCAUGCAGUCUCUCCAGUCUCAAAGCCACAUGAAGGAGCAGUUUGCCUGGAAACAUUUCUACUGGUACCUUACCAAGGAAGGCAUCCAGUAUCUCCAUGAUGACCUCCACCUGCCUCCAGAGAUUGGGUCUGCCCCUUGCAUGCAGCCAGGGAGUGAGUGAACUGAAAGAUUCACAAGUGAGGAGGCGAACAGAGACAGACACUUACAGAGGAACACCGCAGUUGCUGACUGGGGGUGCAAUAACCAAAUCUGACUUCACAGACAGCUUUGGUCUAGAUGUGGUCAGCCUCCUCAGUGAAGUGGAGGGGACUGUUUUGUUCUGAAUAAACUUAAGAAUUGGAAACACAUACAGCUGGGCACAGCCAGAAUUACUAUUUAUAAUGGUAUUUUGCCUGCAUGUAUUUCUGCACAGCAGUGCCAAUGGAGUUCUGAAGAGGAUGUCAGAUUGCAGAACUGGUGUUAUGGGUGGUCGUGAGGCGCCACGUGGGUUCUGGGAACAGAACAUGGGUCCACUGGAAGAGCAACCAAUGCUCUUAACUGGGGAACCAUCUCUCCAGCUCCAAGCAUAUGUUUUUUAGAGAAAAUAAAGUGCAUGCAGUCUUUUAUUUCAGCAACACACUGACAAGCUCUGGUCUCUUCUGUGUCCCUGAAUAUCCCACUUAAUGUUAUUUCCUUUCACCCUGAAAAAUCUUCCCCCAAGCACUCACACAGGGCAGGGCUCUCGAUAACCUCCUUGGUCACCGCUUCUCUUAAGAUGUAUUUAUUUUGCUUUCACUCAAAAUUAGUUUUGGUUAUUGAAUUCUGGGUUGACAGAAUUUUCUCGGGACUUUAAAACGUUUGCCCGCCUUCACUGCUUCUGUUAAAAAGUCAGACGCGGUCCGCACUGUCCCUGCUCCGUGUCAUGUGUCACUGUGCCCUCGAAGCUCUCAGGAUUUUCUCUUGUAAUUGGUUUACAGCAUGUGGUUUUUAUUUGCAUUUAUCUCGCUUGAGGUCACCUAAGCUUUUAGAAUCUGUACAUUUAUUUCCUUCUAAUUAA